UUCUUAUAACAAUCAUUAAAUGAUGAGACACUACAGCCUGCUUUCAUACACAAGGCCUGUAGAUGGACUUACCCCCUAAACCCCACUGGCACUUCUUCUUCCCUAUAUUACAAGGCAACUCUUAAAGUAAACUUAGCAGAGAGACACGCAGAAGGAACAAAGAGAAGGAGAGUCUUGAAAGCAAGAGACAUUCCCCGGCAAAUUGAAACGGUUCUAACUCGUGCAUAUGUCAUCUUCCUUAUGUCUGUCUACAUGCUAUCUUCAUUUAGCAGUGAUACAGAUGAGUUAAAUGUUACUCCAUGAAAAAUGCCGAUACAGAGUCCUGCAGCCAAAGACCCCAGUGCUGUCUCCUGCAGUAGCUAGACCUUCAAGUCAUUUCAUCAUGACAUCUGUUGUAUCUAUUCCAAAAUAAUUAUUAUUGUCAGUACUUAAAUACCUCCGGAACUACCUUGUAAAAAAGUAGACAUGGAGAGAAAAAGGAUUAUAUGACUCAUCUAUGGACUCCUUUAUAGACUAGUCUUCUACAAAAUAAUUAAAACAAUUGUAGCCAACUUUUUAUCAUAUCCGUUGCCGACGGUAAAAGCAACAAAAAUGUAGUUUUUGCCUUUCUUCUUUUGACUGCAUUUAUAUAUGAUUUUGGUGUUUGUGUGUUAAGAUGCAAGAAUAAAAUAUGCUCGACUCGUGACAUCUGCGGAUGUCUCUAAAUUGCUUUUUGUACUUUUAGCAUGUGUAAAUGUUGAGUUCUGCUCAACCCGGGGCUAGAGGGUGUGGACGGUAGCAUGCAUUUCAACUACCGUCCAUGAACAGGCUCAAUCAAACCGAGCCUGCAACAUUUUUCGUUUUUGUCGUGUUGAGCGACCUUUGAAGUUUCUACUUUUCUCUAUUUUACAACAGUUCAUGUGUGACCAAGAGGCUAUGGUUAUUGACAUUGGAACAGAUGCUCUUUCCUUUAAGGGGUGGAAACUUUUUGAAAUGUAUAGGUCUAUGUAGAUUUCUGUGUUAUGAGGAAGUUUUUUCACCUGACUGAGAAACUAAGAAAAGUUUGAUGGUUAUUCCCAGGUCUUCCUCAUAACAUGCAUCUAUUUCGUUGUAAAGUGGAUUGAAACAUUUUAAUAUUGUAAAUACUUCAACUUGUUACACUUAAUACUCUUGUGAUGCAAAUACUGUAUUGUUUUUGUGUUUUGUCUGUUAUAACAGUAAGUAAACUUUAAACAUA
This is a long non-coding RNA of Mercenaria mercenaria, 1216 nucleotides long. RefSeq lists it as uncharacterized. NCBI's taxonomy places the organism in Eukaryota, Metazoa, Mollusca, Bivalvia, Venerida, Veneridae. The transcript is spliced from 3 exons. The record is from RefSeq and is a predicted model, not a curated record.